This 253-nucleotide ribosomal RNA is filed under the name uncultured bacterium. Its description in RNAcentral is "partial 16S ribosomal RNA". It matches the Rfam family "Bacterial small subunit ribosomal RNA", at positions 524 to 776 of the family's 1533-position model. The record is from RNAcentral.
UACGUAGGGGGCAAGCGUUGUCCGGAAUCAUUGGGCGUAAAGCGCGCGUAGGCGGCCCGGUAAGUCCGCUGUGAAAGUCAAAGGCUCAACCUUUGAAUGUCAGCGGAUACUGCCGGGCUAGAGUCCGGAAGAGGCGAGUGGAACUCCUGGUGUAGCGGUGGAAUGCGCAGAUAUCAGGAAGAACACCAACGGCGAAGGCAGCUCGCUGGGACGGUACUGACGCUGAGGCGCGAAAGCGUGGGGAGCGAACAGG